RNAcentral lists this ribosomal RNA (465 nucleotides) under Vreelandella stevensii. RNAcentral describes it as "partial 16S ribosomal RNA". It matches the Rfam family "Bacterial small subunit ribosomal RNA", at positions 338 to 795 of the family's 1533-position model. The record is from RNAcentral. Lineage: Bacteria; Pseudomonadati; Pseudomonadota; Gammaproteobacteria; Oceanospirillales; Halomonadaceae.
CCUACGGGUGGCUGCAGUGGGGAAUAUUGGACAAUGGGGGGAACCCUGAUCCAGCCAUGCCGCGUGUGUGAAGAAGGCCCUCGGGUUGUAAAGCACUUUCAGUGAGGAAGAACGCCUGGUGGUUUAUACCCAUCAGGAAAGACAUCACUCACAGAAGAAGCACCGGCUAACUCCGUGCCAGCAGCCGCGGUAAUACGGAGGGUGCGAGCGUUAAUCGGAAUUACUGGGCGUAAAGCGCGCGUAGGUGGCUUGAUAAGCCGGUUGUGAAAGCCCCGGGCUCAACCUGGGAACGGCAUCCGGAACUGUCAAGCUAGAGUGCAGGAGAGGAAGGUAGAAUUCCCGGUGUAGCGGUGAAAUGCGUAGAGAUCGGGAGGAAUACCAGUGGCGAAGGCGGCCUUCUGGACUGACACUGACACUGAGGUGCGAAAGCGUGGGUAGCAAACAGGAUUAGAUACCCUUGUAGUC